GGAUUCUAAACUAAACUAUUCUUUGUG
This 27-nucleotide transfer RNA is filed under the name Chanos chanos (milkfish). RNAcentral's name for it is "partial tRNA-Pro". The record is from RNAcentral. Lineage: Eukaryota; Metazoa; Chordata; Actinopteri; Gonorynchiformes; Chanidae.